Molecule: long non-coding RNA, 1365 nt
Filed under: Pan troglodytes (chimpanzee)
Lineage: Eukaryota; Metazoa; Chordata; Mammalia; Primates; Hominidae
Description: lincRNA
Source: RNAcentral
CGGGUCCCAAAACACGUGGUCUAAAGUCUUUUGGGCUCCUGCCGCUGCCAGCACUGACGAUAUGCUCUUGACCCUGGUCGGGUGGGGGGAUGUCUGGAUACCUCCUCUGUGGAAAGAACUGGCCACACAUCCGCAGAGGUGACUCGGGCUGAGAACCCAGGCUCCUCCUCCCUUUGGUGACACGCCCCUCGGUCCCUCACUGGCACUUCUCCCUCCGGCCACACGGCGGCGUCUCGCCGUAGCGCAGCGGCCGAUGGUACAGCCCGCUCCCCCCUCGCGCUCUCGGACAGUGGGUCCUUCCACUUGUAGAAAAGCAUUGUGGGACGGAAACCUGUCCUUUCUUCCCUUUGGUGCGAGCUUGGUGUGGUUUUUGCUCUGGGUCCUCAGGUAUGGCGCCUGGCUGUGGCCGCGUGGUCUCUCACGCAGGGGCGCCGGGCGGGGGAACGCGGCCACCCUGAGUCUGGUGAGUCGACUGCAGCGGCCUGUGUCCGAAGUGUCCGGGGCCGUGAACAAGGGCAGCGGCCUGGCCUCAGGCCUGCGUCCCCACGUUUGGAAACGGGGAGCUUCGUGGAUUUGUGUUUACAUCGUCGACUAUGCCAGGGAGUUCUCCAGAUAAGCCUGGUUUUAUUUUCGUCAGUGAAAAGGCCUUACCGUAUAACUGACUUUAUGCUUGCCCUGCCCCCGUGUAAAAUAACUUAAAAGCAGCGUGCCUGGUUACAGCUGUUUCCACGUGCGGUGCUCGUCGGGAGUGAUCACCUACCCUACAGGUGGAAGAUGGAUGCCUGAAGUGUAGACUGCUGCUAGCUGAAUACCAUCUGGGAGCAUAAAGAUGACCUGAAGGUACGGUGAUGUCUUAAAGCACUUUGUAAUGGGAAUUUUUAUCACCUUUUAAACUGGGGUUCCUUCUCUAGUGAGUUUUAAUGUUAGUGGUACAUUCGUAGUGUUGCUCUGUCUGUAGCUAUUAAGGUGAGUUAAUAAAUGGGACAGCCUCCACAGCUUAUUUUUGGGAAGGUUUUGCUGAUACUUCCUGAGAAGCCCAGGGAAAUAAAUACGCAUAGUACUGGCAUUCUGCAUCUCUUUAAGAUUUGUUUUUAUGUGUAGUAAUUGAGUUUUUUUAAAGCUUGUGAAAUCGCAGGCAUAUUACCAAAUUCUUGAUUAAAAUGUAAUACAAAAAUAUUUGCUGUCGAAUUGAGUACUUUAUUUUUUCUCUUAGGAUGUCCUUGGUGAGGAUUUUGAAAAUUUGAUCUUCACAAGAGUUGCUUGGAUCAUUUGAAAUUUCUGGGAGUCUGAGGAGUACUGACAUAAUUGCCUGCUGGAGUCUGUAAAUACACAUUUAAGACAGUGAGGAUGUGAAUAAAUAUAUUA